UAGAAAUUAGUCUAAUAGAAAGACCCUGAGCCUUGAUCUCUGCACUGUAGAAUCACAACCUACAUUUCUAA
Molecule: transfer RNA, 71 nt
Filed under: Rossellidae sp. DVL-2014
Lineage: Eukaryota; Metazoa; Porifera; Hexactinellida; Lyssacinosida; Rossellidae
Description: tRNA-Gln
Source: RNAcentral